GACGAACGCUGGCGGCGUGCUUAACGCAUGCAAGUCGAACGGAAAGGCCCUGCUUUUGUGGGGUGCUCGAGUGGCGAACGGGUGAGUAACACGUGAGUAACCUGCCCUUGACUUUGGGAUAACUUCAGGAAACUGGGGCUAAUACCGGAUAGGAGCUCCUGCUGCAUGGUGGGGGUUGGAAAGUUUCGGCGGUUGGGGAUGGACUCGCGGCUUAUCAGCUUGUUGGUGGGGUAGUGGCUUACCAAGGCUUUGACGGGUAGCCGGCCUGAGAGGGUGACCGGCCACAUUGGUACUGAGAUACGCCCCAGCCUCCUACGGGAGGCAGCAGUGGGGAAUAUUGCACAAUGGGCGGAAGCCUGAUGCAGCAACGCCGCGUGCGGGAUGACGGCCUUCGGGUUGUAAACCGCUUUCGCCUGUGACGAAGCGUGAGUGACGGUAAUGGGUAAAGAAGCACCGGCUAACUACGUG
This 468-nucleotide ribosomal RNA is filed under the name uncultured bacterium. Its description in RNAcentral is "partial 16S ribosomal RNA". It matches the Rfam family "Bacterial small subunit ribosomal RNA", at positions 28 to 507 of the family's 1533-position model. The record is from RNAcentral.